AACAAGUGCCGUUCAAAUAGGGCGGCACCUUGACGGUACCUAACCAGAAAGCCACGGCUAACUACGUGCCAGCAGCCGCGGUAAUACGUAGGUGGCAAGCGUUGUCCGGAAUUAUUGGGCGUAAAGGGCUCGCAGGCGGUUUCUUAAGUCUGAUGUGAAAGCCCCCGGCUCAACCGGGGAGGGUCAUUGGAAACUGGGGAACUUGAGUGCAGAAGAGGAGAGUGGAAUUCCACGUGUAGCGGUGAAAUGCGUAGAGAUGUGGAGGAACACCAGUGGCGAAGGCGACUCUCUGGUC
RNAcentral lists this ribosomal RNA (295 nucleotides) under Bacillus sp. (in: firmicutes). RNAcentral's name for it is "Bacillus sp. (in: Bacteria) partial 16S ribosomal RNA". It matches the Rfam family "Bacterial small subunit ribosomal RNA", at positions 448 to 734 of the family's 1533-position model. The record is from RNAcentral. Lineage: Bacteria; Bacillati; Bacillota; Bacilli; Caryophanales; Bacillaceae.